AACGAACGCUGGCGGCAUGCCUAACACAUGCAAGUCGAACGAUGCCUUCGGGCAUAGUGGCGCACGGGUGCGUAACGCGUGGGAAUCUGCCUUUCGGUUCGGAAUAACUCAGGGAAACUUGAGCUAAUACCGGAUAACGUCGCAAGACCAAAGAUUUAUCACCGAAAGAUGAGCCCGCGUAGGAUUAGCUAGUUGGUGAGGUAAAGGCUCACCAAGGCGACGAUCCUUAGCUGGUCUGAGAGGAUGAUCAGCCACACUGGGACUGAGACACGGCCCAGACUCCUACGGGAGGCAGCAGUGGGGAAUAUUGGACAAUGGGCGAAAGCCUGAUCCAGCAAUGCCGCGUGAGUGAUGAAGGCCUUAGGAUUGUAAAGCUCUUUUACCCGGGAAGAUAAUGACGGUACCGGGAGAAUAAGCCCCGGCUAACUCCGUG
This 433-nucleotide ribosomal RNA is filed under the name uncultured bacterium. RNAcentral describes it as "partial 16S ribosomal RNA". It matches the Rfam family "Bacterial small subunit ribosomal RNA", at positions 29 to 507 of the family's 1533-position model. The record is from RNAcentral.